This 497-nucleotide ribosomal RNA is filed under the name uncultured bacterium. RNAcentral describes it as "partial 16S ribosomal RNA". It matches the Rfam family "Bacterial small subunit ribosomal RNA", at positions 28 to 507 of the family's 1533-position model. The record is from RNAcentral.
GAUGAACGCUGGCGGCGUGCCUAAUACAUGCAAGUCGAACGAACAGACGAGAACGUUGCUUGUCUGAUGUUAGAGGCGGACGUGUGAGUAACACAUGGACAACCUGCUUAUAAGACUGGGAGCACUUCGUGAAACCGUAGCUCAUACGGUAUAAUAUUUUAAACCGCAUUGUUCAAAGGUAAAAGACGGUCUGGCUCUCUCGUAUAGCUGGAUCCGUGUUGCAUUAGCUAGUUGGUAAGGUAACGGCUUACCAAGGCAACGAUGCAUAGCGGACCUGAGAGGGUGAUCGGCCACACUGGAACUGAGACACGGCCCAGACUCCUACGGGAGGCAGCAGUAGGGAAUUUUGCGCAAUGGGCGAAAGCCUGACGGAGCAACGCCGCGUGCAUGAUGAAGGUCUUCGGAUCGUAAAACUCUGUUAUUAGGGAAGAACAGAUGUGUAAGUAAAUGUGCACAUCUUGACGGUACCUAAUCAGAAAGCCACGGCUAACUACGUG